This 247-nucleotide ribosomal RNA is filed under the name uncultured bacterium. RNAcentral's name for it is "partial 16S ribosomal RNA". It matches the Rfam family "Bacterial small subunit ribosomal RNA", at positions 108 to 353 of the family's 1533-position model. The record is from RNAcentral.
GAGUAACACGUAUCCAACCUGCCGUCUACUCUUGGACAGCCUUCUGAAAGGAAGAUUAAUACAAGAUGGCAUCAUGAGUCCGCAUGUUCACAUGAUUAAAGGUAUUCCGGUAGACGAUGGGGAUGCGUUCCAUUAGAUAGUAGGCGGGGUAACGGCCCACCUAGUCUUCGAUGGAUAGGGGUUCUGAGAGGAAGGUCCCCCACAUUGGAACUGAGACACGGUCCAAACUCCUACGGGAGGCAGCAUG